This is a ribosomal RNA of Musa acuminata AAA Group (dessert banana), 119 nucleotides long. NCBI's taxonomy places the organism in Eukaryota, Viridiplantae, Streptophyta, Magnoliopsida, Zingiberales, Musaceae. The record is from RefSeq and is a predicted model, not a curated record.
GGGUGUGAUAAUGACAGCACUAAAGCACCGGAUCCCAUCAGAACUCCGAAGUUAAGCGUGCUUUAGAGAGAGUAGUACUAGGAUGGGCGACCCACUGGGAAGUCCUCGUGUUGCACUCC